This is an RNA transcript of Mangifera indica (mango), 2202 nucleotides long. It is a transcript of the gene named protein root UVB sensitive 4, with no coding region annotated. The transcript is spliced from 10 exons. The record is from RefSeq and is a predicted model, not a curated record. Lineage: Eukaryota; Viridiplantae; Streptophyta; Magnoliopsida; Sapindales; Anacardiaceae.
CAUAUAGCUUUUGAUGCACGCGGUCUUCCAUAUUUUAUAUUUACUCUCUUGGAAAAUCACUUUUGAUUCUCCAAUGGUGUAUCAAGAAACAAUUCAUCAACACUUUUCAGUAUUUGCAAAACCCUAAACCCUAUAGUUAUCAAAGCCACCAUAAAUUUGGCGGGAAAAUCAACUCCCCUAAAUCCUAUUUUCACUUCCCCUGGUUCUCAUGCAAUCACCUCUGAAUUCGGCUGUCAAUGCUCACCAUUUCCAAUCCCAAUGGAAAUUUUCAAAAUUCCCGGAAUUCGUUUCUAUAACGCCCAAAUUCACUCCCAGACAAGCCCUAACUUUUACCACAAAUUCGUUAAGAACCUCAGUUAACUACGAACCAGAGGAAGGACUCGACAAAGGGCCCAAGCCCUUAGGACUCAAAAAGCUGCCGGUGGUGGUUCGUGGGUCGGGUCGUGUUUCGAGGUAUUUCUGGGACGGGAAUUGCUUGCAAUUGGUCAGUGUUGAUGGUGGUGCGUCGUCGUUUGGCUUGGAUUUCGAUGAUGGAUUUAGGAAAUUGUUUAGAAUUUGUAGUUUGGGUAUUAGGGACUUUUUCUUACCCAAACAAGUGAGUGAGAAUUAUAUGAAUUAUGUAAAGUGGAAGUUUUUGCACCGCGUCUUUAGUUCUGCUCUUCAAGUUCUUGCUACACAGGCAAUGUUUCGUGCCAUAGGAAUUGGGUACUCACGUUCAUUGCCUGCAGCAGCAGCCUUGAAUUGGGUUUUAAAGGAUGGACUUGGACGGUUUUGUAGGUGCAUCUACACUGCUAGCCUAGCAUCUGCUUUUGAUACCAAUUUGAAGAGGGUUAGGUUCUCAACAUCUGUUCUGUUUAGUUUGAGCAUUGGAGUUGAGCUGCUGACUCCUGUAUUUCCUAAGUACUUUCUGCUUCUUGCUUCUAUAGCCAACAUCGCUAAACAAAUAAGUCUUGCAUGCUACUUGGCAACCGGUUCUGCAGUUCAUCGAAGCUUUGCAGUAGCUGAUAACCUUGGUGAAGUUUCUGCAAAAGCACAGAUUCAAACAGUGUGCUUUGAUAAUCUUGGGCUCAUGAUUGCUGCAUCUUUUAAUAUAUUGCUGAAGAACAAUCAAAGAUUGCUAGCAGGUUUACCUUUUGUAGUAUACCCCAUUUUCUCUGCAUUUGACCUCUUUGGGAUAUAUCAAGGGCUUAAGCAUGUCCAUCUGCAAACAUUAACUAAGGAUAGGCUUGAAAUCAUACUUGAUAAUUGGAUUGAGUUAGGACAUGUGCCUUCUCCGGCAGAAGUCAGUAAAGAAGAAAGUAUUGAUUUUCUGUGGAGCAAAGGCAAAGAAUUGUUUCCCAUCAGAAUAGGCUGCUUAAGUCCCAAGUGUCAGAUACCCAAGUCGUCAAUGACAGUGAUGCAGUCUUUAACUGAUGAAGAUUAUUACUUUAUUUCCAUGGAGAUUUUCCGCAAAGGUUUGACAACAAAUGGGCAACUUGGUAUCCUUCUUUGUCUUCGGGAAGGUGCUACUGUUACGGAUGUUAUCAUGGGUCUGUUGCAGGUAAAAGGAAUUGUACUCUGCUAUGCUACAUACACCCUUGUAUUUCCACGGGCAGAUGAAUUGGGUAAAAAUUGCUGAAUAAAGAGAGAUAAUACCAUUAUAUAUCCAUGGGCGGAUGGACUACAUGUAACAUUUCUGGGCCCAUAGGAUCAGUCCAUUGUUAAGAUAUUGUUCUCGUUGAGGCAUGCUAUGUCCGCAAGACUCUCCGAAUGAGCAGUGUGUGGGAGCAAAUAGUGGGAGCUAGUGAUGCCUCAGACCUUAUUCUUAAGGACAUGGAGUGGUUUAAAUUGAUAGAAGAUAGUAAGCGAUGUGCCCAAGCGGACUUGUCCAUGUUGAAUGAACAAAUCUCAGCACUGGGUUGGGCUGCAAAAAACAUUCUGUUGAAUACCCAGGAGCAGGCUCGAUACUCCUUUGUAGAUGACUGAAAAACCAGGAUAAUUUUCGAAUUUCGGUGUGCUCUCCUUGAAAUCAGAGGGAGAAUUUUGGGGAAAUAUUUGGAUUAUUUUUUUAUUGCUUCUUUUCUCAGAAGCUGACAAUUCUUUUCUUUUUAACUUUUGUACAUUCCAUUUGUAUAUCACUUCAAUUAUCCAUUCGUUGUACUUGGUUGUAAGACCAAAGGAACGCUCUUGACUUAGAAAGUAAGAUGGACAGUUUCUCAUCAA